This 321-nucleotide ribosomal RNA is filed under the name uncultured Geobacter sp. RNAcentral's name for it is "bacterial SSU rRNA". It matches the Rfam family "Bacterial small subunit ribosomal RNA", at positions 1059 to 1382 of the family's 1533-position model. Lineage: Bacteria; Pseudomonadati; Thermodesulfobacteriota; Desulfuromonadia; Geobacterales; Geobacteraceae. The record is from RNAcentral.
CUCGUGUCGUGAGAUGUUGGGUUAAGUCCCGCAACGAGCGCAACCCUUGUCCUUAGUUGCCACCAUUCAGUUGGGCACUCUAAGGAGACUGCCGGUGUUAAACCGGAGGAAGUGGGGAUGACGUCAAGUCCUCAUGGCCCUUAUAUCCAGGGCUACACACGUGCUACAAUGGCCGGUACAAAGAGUUGCGAUACCGCGAGGUGGAGCUAAUCUCAUAAAGCCGGUCUCAGUUCGGAUUGGAGUCUGCAACUCGACUCCAUGAAGUUGGAAUCGCUAGUAAUCGCGGAUCAGCAUGCCGCGGUGAAUACGUUCCCGGGCCUU